RNAcentral lists this ribosomal RNA (501 nucleotides) under uncultured bacterium. RNAcentral's name for it is "partial 16S ribosomal RNA". It matches the Rfam family "Bacterial small subunit ribosomal RNA", at positions 29 to 523 of the family's 1533-position model. The record is from RNAcentral.
AUUGAACGCUGGCGGCAUGCCUUACACAUGCAAGUCGAACGGCAGCACGGGUGCUUGCACCUGGUGGCGAGUGGCGAACGGGUGAGUAAUACAUCGGAACGUCCCUUAUCGUGGGGGAUAACGCAGCGAAAGCUGUGCUAAUACCGCAUACGCCCUGAGGGGGAAAGCGGGGGAUCGCAAGACCUCGCGCGAUUCGAGCGGCCGAUGCCUGAUUAGCUCGUUGGUGGGGUAAAAACCCACCAAGGCGACGAUCAGUAGCUGGUCUGAGAGGACGAUCAGCCACACUGGGACUGAGACACGGCCCAGACUCCUACGGGAGGCAGCAGUGGGGAAUUUUGGACAAUGGGGGCAACCCUGAUCCAGCAAUGCCGCGUGAGUGAAGAAGGCCUUCGGGUUGUAAAGCUCUUUUGUCAGGGAAGAAACACCGGCUCUAACACAGUCCGGGAAUGACGGUACCUGAAGAAUAAGCACCGGCUAACUGCGUGCCAGCCGCCGCAGUAA